Molecule: long non-coding RNA, 602 nt
Filed under: Olea europaea (common olive)
Lineage: Eukaryota; Viridiplantae; Streptophyta; Magnoliopsida; Lamiales; Oleaceae
Description: long non-coding RNA (OEUR_LNC008942)
Source: RNAcentral
UUAUUUUGUACCUAAAACACAACAAAACCCCCUCCAUGAUCAUGAUACAUACAGUAGCAUGAACAGAAACUCGAAAACACAGCAUUCAAAAAAACUGAUGCAGAUUGUAUCUAGCCAUAACAAAAUGAUUGAUCUUCGUACGGUAAUUGAUUACAAAAUGACAAGCAAAUGAUUUCUAAUCUGUAAAUCACCAUAUUUCUAAUAGCCUAACAACUAGUUAAUACACUGAUAUGCAUUCAUUCUUAAUUCCAAACUAUGCAAGAAAAUGUAUGGUAAAGCCACGUUUUUUAGAUACACACAUACUUCAAGUUUGGACAUCCAAAAACAAGUUUAGUGCAAAAAAUCAUGCUGGCCCUUUUCCUUUCUUAUCACAUUCCGCAUUUGCAUUUCCGUUGCGUCUAGGUAAGAUUAUCUCUACAUCUUUUUAGUGAGUUGAUUGGCACAUUGUUUCGAACAUGCAAGAGACAUUAUUCUCUAAUCCAGUCGCCCCAUGAUUAGUGAAGGAGUUGCCAACGGAUCUUGAUUUAAUAGACAUUUCACCCUCUUUGACACACUCCCAAAAUCCACAUUUUUUGCUGCAACACUUGAACAAUUUACUUUUG